This is a long non-coding RNA of Alligator mississippiensis (American alligator), 260 nucleotides long. RefSeq lists it as uncharacterized. The record is from RefSeq and is a predicted model, not a curated record. The transcript has 2 exons. Lineage: Eukaryota; Metazoa; Chordata; Crocodylia; Alligatoridae.
ACUGCCAUCAACAGAAGGCAUACCAGCAGCCUCAGCAUCCCACCUCCAGACUGCUGACAUCUGACACCUACAAAAGAGCCUCAGAAGUGAAGCCUGCAUCCUGACCAGAUGUACUUUGAUGACAGCCCUAGGCUUUGUGUUGUUUGGGAGAUCUUGAUUUGGACAGAUGGUGUCCAGGGAGCCAAAAGGAAAAAAGGGAGAAAAGAUGCAAGAGACUGAAGGAGGUUUCUUUGUAGUUUAAUAAAAGAAAGAUAAAACCA